RNAcentral lists this ribosomal RNA (502 nucleotides) under uncultured bacterium. RNAcentral describes it as "partial 16S ribosomal RNA". It matches the Rfam family "Bacterial small subunit ribosomal RNA", at positions 30 to 523 of the family's 1533-position model. The record is from RNAcentral.
AUUGAACGCUGGCGGCAUGCUUUACACAUGCAAGUCGAACGGCAGCACGGGUGCUUGCACCUGGUGGCGAGUGGCGAACGGGUGAGUAAUAUAUCGGAACAUGUCCGGAAGUGGGGGAUAACGUAGCGAAAGUUACGCUAAUACCGCAUAUGCCCUGAGGGGGAAAGGGGGGGAUCGCAAGACCUCUCGCUUUCGGAGUGGCCGAUAUUGGAUUAGCUAGUAGGUGAGGUAAAGGCUCACCUAGGCGACGAUCCGUAGCUGGUCUGAGAGGACGACCAGCCACACUGGGACUGAGACACGGCCCAGACUCCUACGGGAGGCAGCAGUGGGGAAUUUUGGACAAUGGGCGCAAGCCUGAUCCAGCCAUGCCGCGUGAGUGAAGAAGGCCUUCGGGUUGUAAAGCUCUUUCAGCUGGAAAGAAAUCGUAUCUAUUAAUACUAGGUGCGGAUGACGGUACCAGCAGAAGAAGCACCGGCUAACUACGUGCCAGCCGCCGCUGUAA